This 1218-nucleotide ribosomal RNA is filed under the name Triticum aestivum (bread wheat). RNAcentral's name for it is "partial small subunit ribosomal RNA". The record is from RNAcentral. Lineage: Eukaryota; Viridiplantae; Streptophyta; Magnoliopsida; Poales; Poaceae.
AUGAUGCAACUACGUGUCUACUACUGUACGUGCUAUGUACAGCCGAGCAUUAUCGCGCGCGGCGGCCUCUGCUUAGAAGACGAGGCAAUCCUUGUCGAGGUCGUACCCCAUCUUCUCCAGCCCCGGGCGCACCGUGCACUCGAGCAUCGCCGGCGGCCCGCACACGAGCGCGAGCGUCUCGCCGUCUCCGCCCAAAGGCAGGUGCUCCCGGAGCACCUGUUCGUCGACCCUACCCACGCCGUAUUCCCAUGCGUCCUCCGGCCGGGCCACCUUGCUCACCACGUACCACACCUUGAGCCGCGCCGGGUGCGCGGCCGCCCACCGGUCGAUCUCCUCCCGCAGGAGCAUGUCGUCCUCGGUGCGGUUCGCGAACACCAGGUGCAUCUCCGUGGUGUCAUCGGGCUGGUCCCUCAGCACGGCCUGGAUCACCUGGUACACCGGCGUGAUCCCCGUCCCGCCGGCCACCAUGGCGAGCCGGCGCGCGAACCGGCGCUCGCCGCCCACCGUGAACGCGCCGCGGCCGGCGUACUCGAUGUGGCCCACGGGGCCCUUGAUGUCGACGGGUGCACCGAGCGGCAGCGAGUCGAGGUACUGCGACAUGAGCCCGCCGGCGGGGAACUUGGGGUCCUCGUCCUUGAAGUAUAUCUUGAUGAGGAGGUCCACAUGGCCGACCUCCUCGACGGAGCUGGUGGGCGUGUACGCGCGCAUGCAGAGCUUGCCGCCGGUGGACGCGCACACGUACACGUGCUUGCCGACGGGCAGCCCGAGCUUCUGGUCAGGCGACGGCAGCGCGAACCGGAACAGGCGCACGUUGUCGGACAUGCUCUUCUUGUCGACGAGCCGGCAGCGCACCUUCUCCCGCGGAUUGGCGAGCGCAACGGUCGUCGAGACCGGCGGCAGCACCAAGGGCUCAACACCAGCAGCAGGGGCCUCGACGAUGGCGGCGAGGUCGGCGCUGCUGCUCUGCGGCGAGUAGUCGGUGCCGGUGGCGAUGAGCUCGCCGACGCGGUACAUCUCAAGGAGGCCGCGGGCCUUGGCGGAGUGGAUGGCGUCGAACUCCUCGGUGCAGUCGGAGCCGGCAUUGAUGAGGAUGCUGUCGGCGCCGCCGGGGUGGUCCUUGAGGAAGCCCGUGCAGUCGUAGACGUGGCCGUGCACGACGAUCCACGCCGACUCCUUGGACGCGUGGCGGCGCACCUCGGACAUGGUGUACUGGGCUGA